GUCCUCGGAGUCCAGCUUCUUGCCCAACCCGCUGAGCAGGGAUCCCUGGCCGUCCGAGCCCGUUGGUGAGGACGGUGAGUCGGAGUCGGACUCGUCCUGGGACAUGGAGCUGUUUGUCCCUGAUGGACUGCAAGGAUUUCCUGCCAGAGAGGGGACUUCAUGGUUCUUUUUAUUACCACAAGUCAUCCAGGGCCUAAACCAGCAAGCAACCCCAGACCAUCACACUACCACCAUCAUGUUUGACUAUCGCCCAUCUUCCCUCCUCCUUCUCAGCUCCUCUCCUGGUUGCAGUUGUAUUUGUACGCCUUUGGAAGAUUACAAAGAGGUGCUUUGUGAAGGGAUGCAGCUGCUGAAAUUCAACUAGAUCCAGCUGAAGAGAGAAGGGAGCAGGACCAGUCCUUCAUGACCAGGUCACAUCAGAUCGGCCUGGCGGAUGAGGAUCUCCGGGGGGCCGCAGGGUGCUGGUAGUGGGAACAUUGCCUCUGUUAUGAAAGACACCAUUGUCCCGUCUGCCUCGCCGACAUAGAAAAUGAAUAAAUCAAAGUGGAGACAUCAAGAGUGGAGGAGAAGAGGGAAUGGCAAGAAGGGGGGAGGGGGGGGGGGUCUAUCUGACAUCUGCAUUCUUAAACGACGGAGCAUUUAGCUCUGUAAUAAUGGUAUCUUCAUGUCACAAAUGCCACAAUGCUGAAGAAAUUAACAUUUAAGUAGGAUUUUACCUCUGAUCAGAUUUACACCUCUGUUCCCCUGUGGUGCUGUCAACCUGACACUUAACAGAUUUUUGUUUAUUAUAUUGCUUUUGUCAUCCCUGUAUUUUUAUCUUGCUAAGUUAGCUGGAACCCCUGAGUUGUCAAACACAUGCCAUCACAGGAUGUGUCAACAGCUUAAAGUUACUGUGAUGCUAUUUGUGCUGAUUUGAUCAGGAAUUUUAAUUUUAAUUUUCUAACUUUUUAACUUAAACUAGUUUUUACUGAUGUUUUAUUGGUUUUACAUCUUCAACUAUAAAAAGCAGGCCUUCUCACUUUGUUCAUUUAAAGCGUUGCUAAUGUAAUCAUGUGACUUGCUGAUAAAAGAUCAAAGGAUCUCCAUGGGAAAGAUUUUUUUUAUAUAUUUGUUUUAAAGCACAGUUAACCAUCUGUCAUGCAGUGUUAAUUUUGUAAAUUUCAAGAGUAAAAGUGUAGCCUGCACUGUUCUGUACAAACAAUAUUUGUGUGCAUCAGUUCCUUUUUAACUUAAUUUAUCUUGAACCAUCUAAUUUUAUUACUGUCAGUACCCUUUGUUGGACUGUUUUCCUAACACGGAGACCUAGUGCUUUGUGGCAAGUAUAGCAAUAUCAUACCUGGAGGUUAUAGAGCAGGAG
This is a long non-coding RNA of Girardinichthys multiradiatus, 1357 nucleotides long. RefSeq lists it as uncharacterized. The transcript is spliced from 4 exons. Lineage: Eukaryota; Metazoa; Chordata; Actinopteri; Cyprinodontiformes; Goodeidae. The record is from RefSeq and is a predicted model, not a curated record.